Molecule: ribosomal RNA, 253 nt
Filed under: uncultured bacterium
Lineage: Bacteria
Description: partial 16S ribosomal RNA
Rfam family: Bacterial small subunit ribosomal RNA
Source: RNAcentral
UACGUAGGGGCCGAGCGUUGUCCGGAGUUAUUGGGCGUAAAGCGCGCGCAGGCGGCCUCGCGCGCCCGACGUGAAAGCCCCCGGCUUAACCGGGGAGGGUCGUUGGGGACGGCGGGGCUUGAGGGCGGGAGAGGUCGGUGGAAUUCCUGGUGUAGCGGUGAAAUGCGCAGAUAUCAGGAGGAACACCGGUGGCGAAGGCGGGUCUCUGAGCCGAUACUGACGCUGAGGAGCGAAAGCGUGGGGAGCGAACAGG